Molecule: ribosomal RNA, 497 nt
Filed under: uncultured bacterium
Lineage: Bacteria
Description: partial 16S ribosomal RNA
Rfam family: Bacterial small subunit ribosomal RNA
Source: RNAcentral
GAUGAACGCUGGCGGCGUGCCUAAUACAUGCCAGUCGAGCGAACGGACGCGAAGCUUGCUUCUCUGAUGUUAGCGGCGGACGUGUGAGUCACACGUGGAUAACCUACCUAUAAUUCUGGGAUCACUUCGAGACACCGGCUCUAACACCGUAUGAUCUUUUGCACCGCGUUGUUCAAAAGUGAAAGACGGUGUUGCUGUCACUUCUCGCUGGUUCCGCGCUGGUUUAGCUAGUUGUUACGUUAACGGCUUUCCAAGGCAAGUAUGCAUAACCGACCGCAUGGAGUGAUCGGCCACAUGGGAGCGGGGACACGGUCCAGACUCCUGAGGGAGGCACCAGUAGGGAAUGUGCGGCAAUGGGCGAAAGCCUGACGGAGCAACGCGGCGUGAGUGAUGAAGGCCUUCGGAGCGUAAAGCUCUGUUAUUAGUGAAGAACAGAUGUGUAAGUAACUGUGCACAGAUUGACGGUAACUAGUCAGAAAGCCACGGCUAACUACGUG